GCCAUGGGCGCCGCUAUGCCCGCACCGACGGCAAGGUUUUUCAGUUCUUGAAUGCAAAAUGUGAAUCUGCAUUCCUUUCCAAGAGAAAUCCCCGUCAAAUCAAUUGGACUGUUCUGUAUAGGCGUAAACACAAGAAAGGACAGUCAG
Molecule: RNA transcript, 147 nt
Organism: Dromaius novaehollandiae (emu)
Lineage: Eukaryota; Metazoa; Chordata; Aves; Casuariiformes; Dromaiidae
Exons: 2
Source: RefSeq, a predicted model, not a curated record